CCCGCGCUCCUCCGGGCAGAGCGCGUGUGGCGGCCGAGCACAUGGGCCCGCGGGCCGGGCGGGCUCGGGGCGGCCGGGACGAGGAGGGGCGACGACGAGCUGCGAGCAAAGAUGUGCCCCGGGACCCCCGGCACCUUCCAGUGGAUUUCCUUGCGGAAAGGAUGUUGGCGGUCCCUGUGACCUGUGGAGACACGGCCAGAUCUGCCCUCCAGACCAUAGCUGUCUGCAGUGCAGGAAGCCAACUAUUAAGGGGAAACAAAAGUGUUCUUAGGAGUCCUGCUGUCACUGUGGAUUGAGCCGGUGAAGCCCUGAGGGAUUUCAUCGCUGAGGUGGAUGGAGAAGCAGCUGGGGGCCUUGGCUGUAAGGACCCCUAAGGGCCUGAUCUUUUGGCCAGAAGGAGAUUAAAAAGAUGCCCCUCAAGAUGGCUGUGCCUGUCAGCUGCAUGGAGCUUCGUUCAAGUAUUUUCUGAGCCUGAUGGAUUUACAGUGAUCUUCAGUGGUCUGGGGAAUAACGCUGGUGGAACCAUGCACUGGAAUGACACACGCCCGGCACAUUUCAGGAUACUAAAAGUGGUUUUAAGGGAGGCUGUGGCUGAAUGCCUCAUGGAUUCUUACAGCUUGGAUGUCCAUGGGGGACGAAGGACUGCAGCUGGCUGAGAGGGUUGAGAUCUCUGUUUACUUAGAUCUCUGCCAACUUCCUUUGGGUCUCCCUAUGGAAUGUAAGACCCCGACUCUUCCUGGUGAAGCAUCUGAUGCACGUUCCAUCCGGCGCUCAGCUGGGCUUGAGCUGACCAUACUCCCUGGAGCCUUCUCCCGAGGUGCGCGGGUGACCUUGGCACAUACAGCCAUCAUGAUGGUACUUUAAGUGGAGGCUGAAUCAUCUCCCCUUUGAGCUGCUUGGCACGUGGCUCCCUUGGUGUUCCCCUUUUACUGCCAGGACACUGAGAUUUGGAGAGAAUCCUGUUACACCUGGGAUUUAGGCACUUUCAAUCUGAAAAAAUACAUAUCCUUUCAGCACUCUGGACGGACUUGAGAACUGUCCUUACGUGACCUAAAGCUGGAGUAUUUUGAGAUUGGAGAAUUAAGAGUGUGGGCACCCUGGCUUCAAGCUCACGAGAAACCAGGCCAACAGAGAUUUUGAGAAACACAUUGAAGGAUCUGUUAACACUUGAUAUACCCAAUAAAAGCAGUGGUUGUGCCAGUGCUGAUCUGUCUUGAUGUGAAUGUGAACAAUGGGAACCUGAGCUGAGCAGUUAAUGCUAGGGUGACAGAAACUGGACCUCUCCCAAGACAUGUGACAGAGUAAUACAGCAGCCAACUUCUUCGCCAAAUUAAAGUUUUACAAGAUUUAACCUGUCAUCAAGACCUGGGAUUUUGGUGAGCCAGUCUUGGUGCUCUGUGUUCACCUGGUUCAUCUGAGGAGCUGCAUCUACCCUGCCCAUGCCAUAGAUCCUGCCCUGUUUGCUUCUCCUGUUGCUGCUAGUGGACAUGAGGUAACCACAGCCUAGUUCUGUGAUAAGCUCUUCACACCUGUACCCAUAUGGACUGUGGGAGAGUUUCUCUGAUAUGGACUGUGAUGCGGAAGACAGUGAUGCACUGUAUUCAAGUGAUAGCCCCAGCAGUAACAUUGAUGCAGAGAAAAUGGAAUACUUUUUACAAGAGACCAGAAGACACAUGAAGCUAGAAAAAGGAGCCCAGAAAACUGCCACAUUUUGCCCAUAUAGAAAAGCAUAUCCCGACCGGGCACAGUGGCUCACGCCUGUAAUCCCAGGACUUUGGAAGCCCAAGAUGGGUGGAUCACAAGAAGGACAGAAUAACGGGCUCCCAGAUUCACAAGCCCCACCAAGAGGAUCACCCCAGGAACGCUUGGAGGCUGAGGAGUUCACUGAGGCUACUGCAUCUUGAGACUCAGGAUGAAGACCCAGCUUGGGGCUGUCAAAGGUUUUUUGCAUGUCUGACACCCAUGACUCCACCUGGACCUUAUGGCUCCACCCAGAAGCAAUUCAGCCCAACAGGAGGACAGCUUCAACCCAUUACGAUUUCAUCUCUGCCCCAACCACUCAGCAGCAAGCACCUGUUACCUGUCCACCCCCACCCCUUCCCCCAAACUGCCUUUGAAAAAUCCCUAACCUAUGAGCUUUGAAUAAGAUGAGUACGAACUUCAUCGCCCACGUGGCGUGGCCGGCCUCGUGUCUAUUAAAUUCUUUUUCUACUACAA
This 2217-nucleotide long non-coding RNA is filed under the name Homo sapiens (human). RNAcentral's name for it is "Pvt1 oncogene, transcript variant 19 (PVT1)". The stretch from base 34 to 211 matches the Rfam family "Pvt1 oncogene conserved region 1". Lineage: Eukaryota; Metazoa; Chordata; Mammalia; Primates; Hominidae. The record is from RNAcentral.